GAAAAUCUUAGUAGGCCAUUUUGUUAUAUCUGACUUGAACGUGAAAAUUUUCGCCAGCAAAGUUUCAAUUUUCAGUGGCAUAGCUGCAAUAAAAAAAUAAAAUCUAAUUUCAGAUUAUUAAAAACCAACCAAAACAGGAAUAAAAUGGGUCGCAAGAAGAAGAAGGCCUCGAAACCAUGGUGCUGGUACUGCAAUCGUGAAUUUGACGAUGAAAAGAUUUUGGUGCAACAUCAGAAGGCGAAACAUUUCAAGUGCCACAUUUGUCACAAGAAAUUAUAUACAGGGCCCGGUUUAUCGAUCCACUGUAUGCAAGUGCAUAAAGAAACUGUAGACAAGGUACCCAACUCUUUGCCCAAUCGCUCAAAUAUUGAGGUAGAAAUAUUCGGGAUGGAUGGAAUACCAGCGGAGGAUGUGCGCGAGCAUGAACGACAGAAAAAUGGCGGCAAAUCGGAUUCUGACGACGACGAGCCAGCCGCAAAGAAAAAAGUUGAAAUUCCAUUAACGGCACCACCGCCUAUGAUGAUGCCCCCAAACAUGAUGCCACCGAUGAUGGGCCAAUUCGGACCAAUGGGGAUGAUGCCAAAUAUGCCACCUAUGGCACCAAUGCCUCCAUUUUUAGGGCCCGGUGGUAUACCUAUGAUGCCGCCACACAUGAUGCCGCCGCGACCACUUUUUCCGGCAGCAAUGGCUGCCACUACUUCUGCAGCAGCGGUGCAUGCAGCCGCGGUUUCUCAAAAGCCAACUUUCCCUGCGUACAGUAAUGCAACGAUUAGCGCACCGCCAACAACCAAUAACCCCAGUGCCACAGGAAGUACAGCGCCAGCUGAAGCGCCAAAGGCACCCGCAACAGCUCCAAGCGGAACUGCUGCUGGUGUAACGUCAAAAAUCAUGCAUCCACCGGAGGAUAUGAGCUUGGAGGAGUUACGUGCACGGAAACCCAAGUAUCAACAAAAAUUACAGAAUAGCGGAGGCAGCAACAGCCAUCAACAACGCACCACAUCGGCUGGCACGCUCAGUCAUAAUCAUAAUACCGUCGUGAGCAGCACAUCAUCCAUGACAAUUCCAACAAGUUCGAGUACGUCGAGUGCAGCAGCAGCCGCUCAAGCUGCGGCUAUAUCAAAGGCCCAGGAAACUGCUGCAAUGGUAGCGGUUGCACAGGUCCAAGCAGCUCAGGCCCAGGCACAGGCACACGUCCAGGCGCAGGCUCAAGCGCAGGCGCAAGCACAUGCUCAAGCGCAGGCUCAGGCUCAAGCACAGGUGCAGGCAGCUCAAGCACAUGCGCAUGCACACGCAGCAGCACACGCGCAGGCAGCUCAGGUACAAGCACAGGUGGCGCAAGCACAAGCGCACGCACAUGCGCAGGUCGCUCAAGCGGUAGCUGCUCAACAUCAACAACAACAACAAAAGCAAUUGGAAGAUCUCAAUCGUGCUGUGCUUCUUCAGAGGCUACAGGCCGGACGCUCGGGCCAUCCACAAUCGGCACUCGGCGCACCAACUGCAACGGCCGUAGGCAUGAUGCCGUUGCCAGGGCAAAUGCAAUUAAUGCAACCAAUGCUGCGUCCUGCCAUGGCACUGGGACCGCAUGGACCGUUGCUGGGUGGCAAUAUGUUGCGUGCACCAGGCGGUUUGCCCGGAAUGCCAGGUGAGUACAAUAAAACGCUUAUAUAUGUAGAAGUCAACUUAGAGAAGAACAUGAAUGCUAAAAUACUUUUUCAUACGCUGCCAGGUCUGUUGCCAGUACAAGCCAUACAAAUGCCGGGUAUGCCGAUGCCCGGUAUGGGUGUCAUGCUACCAGCCGGUCAUCCUGUACUGCAAAUGAUGCCACGAUUUCGGUGAUCCGCCAAUUUGUUUGUCGACGCCGCUCUUAGAAACUCCGAUGCCGUUAUUAUAUCCACCUGAAAGAUAAAAUUGGAAACAAGCAAUAAUGCAUUUAGCAUCACCCAAAAAAAUUUUCUAAACUAAUGGAAAAUGAAAACAACGGAAACCUCAAUGUCAUAAAAAAGAUUUCAGCGCAGCAAUGCCACCCAGCUGAUUAAAGCAAAAAAACUGGCAAGCGUAUUGUCGUCAACGGAUGAAUGAGCCUAUUAUUUAAGCAGCAUUGUUAUUGUCGCCUUAUACAGAAAACAAGUUUGUACUCUACUUAAUAUCGCCCCUUCACCUAAAGUUUGUUGCUAUAAGCCAUUUUAACUAAAAGCCGUGCCGUCACACAUACUCAUGCACUUAAUAAGUGCACUAGAACCCAGCCAACCACCAAACAGGCAGGCGGAGGGAUGGAGCAGAACUACUGGUCCACGACAACGUUGGUCGAUUGCGAUGAUGCGCUCGAUCUGUAGUUUAUUUUCCGUGUGCAACUGACUAACUUAUAUAGAAAAAAUAAAAUAAAAAUUCGUAAAAGAUAAAAAAGAAAACUCAAACAUACAUACGUAACCGUAGCACACAGCCACUGAGUAAGCAAUCCCUCUUUACUAUAAUUUUCGUUUUUCGUAAUAUUUGUUUAAUAAGUAUAAAAGUUCAAAGCACGCAAUAAUUAGUGUACUAAACAUAUGUAUGGUAUUUAGUAUGUAAAUGACAGAAAACUAAAUCAAGAUUAAUGGAUAAGGCCGUAACCAAGCAGAAAGCUCUACAUACAUAUAUACUACAUAUGUACAUACAUACAACUCAUAUUAAUUUGAUACAUUUCACAGAUUUCAAUAUGCACACAUACAUAGUUCUCGGUGUGCCUCCGAUUGCUGAAUGAGCCGCGAAGUCCUACCAGUGAGGCAUUAGGUAUGUUGCCAGUGUUGUUGUAAUUUGUAUUUUCGUUUGCCGUCCUGCCUUGAUCGUACGUACGUAUGUACUGCUCAUCCUAAAAUGUACCACAUCGUGUCAAAAAAAA
RNAcentral lists this unclassified non-coding RNA (2875 nucleotides) under Rhagoletis pomonella (apple maggot). RNAcentral describes it as "bUB3-interacting and GLEBS motif-containing protein ZNF207, transcript variant X3". Lineage: Eukaryota; Metazoa; Arthropoda; Insecta; Diptera; Tephritidae. The record is from RNAcentral.